CCCAGACUCCUACGGGAGGCAGCAGUGAGGAAUAUUGGUCAAUGGCCGAGAGGCUGAACCAGCCAAGUCGCGUGAGGGAUGACGGCCCUACGGGUUGUAAACCUCUUUUGCCGGGGAGCAAAGAGCGGGACGCGUCCCGCCUCGAGAGUACCCGGAGAAAAAGCAUCGGCUAACUCCGUGCCAGCAGCCGCGGUAAUACGGAGGGUGCAAGCGUUGUCCGGAAUCAUUGGGCGUAAAGAGUUCGUAGGCGGUAUGUUAAGUCUGGUGUUAAAUGCAGAAGCUCAACUUCUGUUCGGCACUGGAUACUGGCAAACUAGAAUGCGGUAGAGGUAAAGGGAAUUCCUGGUGUAGCGGUGAAAUGCUUAGAUAUCAGGAGGAACAUUGGUGGCGUAAGCGCUUUACUGGGCCGUAAUUGACGCUGAGGAACGAAAGCCAGGGUAGCAAAUGGGAUUAGAUACCCCGGUAUC
Molecule: ribosomal RNA, 467 nt
Filed under: uncultured bacterium
Lineage: Bacteria
Description: bacterial SSU rRNA
Rfam family: Bacterial small subunit ribosomal RNA
Source: RNAcentral